This 301-nucleotide ribosomal RNA is filed under the name uncultured bacterium. RNAcentral describes it as "partial 16S ribosomal RNA". It matches the Rfam family "Bacterial small subunit ribosomal RNA", at positions 509 to 807 of the family's 1533-position model. The record is from RNAcentral.
CAGUCGCCGCGGUAAUACAGAGGGUGCGAGCGUUAAUCGGAAUUACUGGGCGUAAAGCGCGCGUAGGUGGUUUGUUAAGUUGGAUGUGAAAUCCCCGGGCUCAACCUGGGAACUGCAUCCAAAACUGGCAAGCUAGAGUAUGGUAGAGGGUGGUGGAAUUUCCUGUGUAGCGGUGAAAUGCGUAGAUAUAGGAAGGAACACCAGUGGCGAAGGCGACCACCUGGACUGAUACUGACACUGAGGUGCGAAAGCGUGGGGAGCAAACAGGAUUAGAUACCCCAGUAGUCCCUGUCUCUUAUAC